AGAGUUUGAUCAGUGGCUACAGGACGAACGCUGGCGGCGUGCCUAACACAUGCAAGUCGAGCGAGGAGAUCCCUUCGGGGAUGAACCUAGCGGCGGACGGGUGAGUAACACGUGGGCAACCUGCCUUAUAGAGGGGAAUAGCCUUCCGAAAGGAAGAUUAAUACCGCAUAACAUUACAUUUUCGCAUGAAGAAGUAAUUAAAGGAGCAAUCCGCUAUAAGAUGGGCCCGCGGCGCAUUAGCUAGUUGGUGAGGUAACGGCUCACCAAGGCGACGAUGCGUAGCCGACCUGAGAGGGUGAUCGGCCACAUUGGGACUGAGACACGGCCCAGACUCCUACGGGAGGCAGCAGGUGGGGAAUAUUGCACAAGUGGGGGAAACCCUGAUGCAGCAACGCCGCGUGAGUGAUGAAGGUCUUCGGAUACGUAAAGCUCUGUCUUCGAGGGACGAUAAUGACGGUACCUGAGGAGGAAGCCACGGCUAACUACGUGCCAGCCGCGGC
Molecule: ribosomal RNA, 500 nt
Filed under: uncultured bacterium
Lineage: Bacteria
Description: bacterial SSU rRNA
Rfam family: Bacterial small subunit ribosomal RNA
Source: RNAcentral